RNAcentral lists this non-coding RNA (31 nucleotides) under Mus musculus (house mouse). The record is from RNAcentral. Lineage: Eukaryota; Metazoa; Chordata; Mammalia; Rodentia; Muridae.
UCACACUGUAAGACUUACAAAGGAGCUCACU